AGUCACCACUAUCUUCGUUUUGAACAGAAGCUUGAGCUCCAACUUUAGACUAUGUCAACAAUAAGAUACCGAGAAACACAAAUGUUUUUUUCCUAAGUUAUAUCAGAUUUUUUAAUAAACUAAAACCUCUUUAACUUGGUUUAAUUUAAAUUACACGAACAAAAUUCCUACGUAAUUGACGUUUCCAUACCGGUAAAGUUUCACGGUACGAGUUUAAUUCACGCUAAAAAGGUUGUAAACAUCUUACGCUCAGUCUAAACUAACAAAUUAAAAGUCAUGGUAAUAAAACCCAGUUCCAAAGUCAUGGAAUUGUAAAAAGUUUUAAGUCAGGGCUUUCGAUUUGGAGUCGAAGGAGAGGAAUGGAAGGAAAUUAUAUAUCAAUUUUGAUUUCCUUUUACGCCACAUCUCUCUCACAAUAACAUUACUUUUGAUGCUUCAAACGUUUCUUUGGUUGGUUGGAUGCAACCAUUUUUUUUAAGCAUUUUCUACUCAUUUUUCAUGAAUGUAAAAUUAUAACAAUGUAGGUAGCAAAAUUCAUUUUAUACAAAAAUAAAACUAUGCGUUGGCCAACAAAACACCGUAAAGAGUAAAAAGAAAAUGUAUAAA
This 606-nucleotide long non-coding RNA is filed under the name Brassica napus (rape). Its description in RNAcentral is "long non-coding RNA (BNAP_LNC023743)". Lineage: Eukaryota; Viridiplantae; Streptophyta; Magnoliopsida; Brassicales; Brassicaceae. The record is from RNAcentral.